RNAcentral lists this ribosomal RNA (775 nucleotides) under uncultured Neocallimastigales. Its description in RNAcentral is "partial large subunit ribosomal RNA". It matches the Rfam family "Eukaryotic large subunit ribosomal RNA", at positions 20 to 644 of the family's 3401-position model. The record is from RNAcentral. Lineage: Eukaryota; Fungi; Neocallimastigomycota; Neocallimastigomycetes; Neocallimastigales.
UACUAGAGUAGCACUCGCAUAUCAAUAAGCGGAGGAAAAGAAACUAACAAGGAUUCCCCUAGUAACGGCGAGUGAAGCGGGAAGAGCUCAAAUUUGAAAUCUUAAAGGGUUUCCCUUUACGAAUUGUAGUUUAAAGAAGUGUUUUCUGUUGAGGUUUUGGUAAAAGUUCUUUGGAAUAGGACAUCAUAGAGGGUGAGAAUCCCGUAUUUGACCUUUACUUUCAACUUUGUGAUACACUUUCAAAGAGUCGGAUUGUUUGGGAAUGCAGUCCAAAAUGGGUGGUAAAUUUCAUCUAAAGCUAAAUAUUGGCGAGAGACCGAUAGCGAACAAGUACCGUGAGGGAAAGAUGAAAAGAACUUUGAAAAGAGAGUUAAACAGUACGUGAAAUUGUCAAAAGGGAAGCGUUUGACACCAGUGUUGUUUUUCUGAAAAUCAAUUAAAGAACUGUUUAUGCUAAGCUGUUUAGACUUUAUCAGCUAUCUGUUUAGUUUUGAGCUUUUCUUUAAUGCACUUUUCAGUUAACAAGUCAACAUCAAUUUCUUUUGCUGUAAAAAAGCUUGAGGAAGGUGGCUUGAGAUUCGUCUUAAGUGUUUAUAGCCUCUUGCCUAUGCAGUCGGAGAGAUUGAGGUCUGCAGCGUAGAUCCUUCGGGGCUAAAUGCAUUUGUGCUAAGGUUAUAGCAUUUUAUAGACAACUUGUUGACUAUGAUUUGUCUUGUAGCUUACUCGCUUAUGUUAUUUUACCUACGCUUAGGAUGUUGAACUACUGAGACAUAGA